This 499-nucleotide long non-coding RNA is filed under the name Sinocyclocheilus grahami. RNAcentral's name for it is "lncRNA (ENSSGRG00000015459.1)". The record is from RNAcentral. Lineage: Eukaryota; Metazoa; Chordata; Actinopteri; Cypriniformes; Cyprinidae.
GCAAUAGCUCGAAUGUGCGCGCUGUCAGGCGCUGAGGCGGGGACCACAUGACCUGCGUUCAUUCCUGUACUGUAGUACCGCUGUGACGCGCGCUGUGUGAAGCGCAUUUCUCCGCCGCUCGCGAGAGGAGCUCAGUAUUAUCAUGUACCAGACCGCUGUGCUGCACUGAAAUACUGUCGGAUAUUUUUUUCAAACAGCGGGCUCAUUCUCUUAUUUACAGAAUAGACGUGAUUACGGGAGACGAUGCCUGAAGAAAAAGCAUUUCACCAGCAGGCUGUUCACAGUUCCCUGGAACAGCAGAAGGGACAGCGGCAGAGCGGCCCCAUCCCGUGUCAAAACUGUGGCAAGCCCUGCAAAGGCGAGGUGCUCCGGGUGCAGAACAAACACUUCCACAUCAAGUGCUUUGUCUGCAAAGGAGUCAUUCUAGGAACACGGGCGGGUGUUGUUUUUACAGGAAGUGUCUUUCCAGCACUCAGUGUGCUGUCACACCACAUUCAAC